AUCGCUUCUCGGCCUUUUGGCUAAGAUCAAAGUGUAGUAUCUGUUCUUAUCAGCUUAAUAUCUGAUACGUCUCCUAAUGGAGACAUCGAUAUUAAACUGAUUUUUAGAAUGGGAUGAGGUGCCACGGGGCUUGCUCCGCCCUCAUCACGGGUUGACCCGGUAUUGCAGUACCUCCGGGAAUGGCCCACCACUC
This 193-nucleotide small nuclear RNA is filed under the name Haliotis rufescens (red abalone). RNAcentral describes it as "U2 spliceosomal RNA". It matches the Rfam family "U2 spliceosomal RNA". From Rfam's summary of the family: U2 is a small nuclear RNA (snRNA) component of the spliceosome (involved in pre-mRNA splicing). Complementary binding between U2 snRNA (in an area lying towards the 5' end but 3' to hairpin I) and the branchpoint sequence (BPS) of the intron results the bulging out of an unpaired adenosine, on the BPS, which initiates a nucleophilic attack at the intronic 5' splice site, thus starting the first of two transesterification reactions that mediate splicing. Lineage: Eukaryota; Metazoa; Mollusca; Gastropoda; Lepetellida; Haliotidae. The record is from RNAcentral.